Molecule: ribosomal RNA, 364 nt
Filed under: uncultured bacterium
Lineage: Bacteria
Description: partial 16S ribosomal RNA
Rfam family: Bacterial small subunit ribosomal RNA
Source: RNAcentral
CCUACGGGUGGCUGCAGUGGGGAAUAUUGCACAAUGGGGGAAACCCUGAUGCAUCGACGCCGCGUGAGUGAAGAAGCGUUUCGGCGCGUAAAGCUCUGUCAGCGGGGAAGAAACACGGUUCGCGAGAGCCGCCGACGGUACCCGACCAACAAGCCCCGGCUAACUACGUCCCAGCAGCCGCGGUAAUACGUAGGGGGCAAGCGUUAUCCGGAUUCACUGGGUGUAAAGGGAGCGUGAACGGCGAGACAAGUCUAGAGUGAAACGCCGGGGCCCAACCCCGGGACUGCUCUGGAAACGGGCUGGCUGGAGUACAGGAGAGGUAGGUGGAAUGCCUAGUGUAGCGGUGAAAUGCGUAGAUAUUAGG